This 957-nucleotide ribosomal RNA is filed under the name uncultured archaeon. RNAcentral's name for it is "bacterial SSU rRNA". The stretch from base 1 to 822 matches the Rfam family "Archaeal small subunit ribosomal RNA". The record is from RNAcentral.
UCGGCGCGAUCGCCUUACGGCUCAGUAACACGUGGAUAACCUGCCCUUGGGUCUGGGAUAACCCCGGGAAACUGGGACUAAUACUGGAUAGAUCAGAGAAACUGGAAUGUUCUCUGGUUCAAAACUCCGGUGCCCAAGGAUGGGUCUGCGGCCUAUCAGGUAGUAGUGGGUGUAACGUACCUACUAGCCAGCGACGGGUAAGGGUUGUGAGAGCAAGAUCCCUGAGAUGGAUUCUGAGACAUGAAUCCAGGCCCUACGGGGUGCAGCAGGCGCGAAAACUUUACACUGCGGGAAACCGCGAUAAGGGGACCCCGAGUGCCAGCACCUAGUGCUGGCUGUCCUACUGUCUAAAUAACAGUGGUUAGCAAGGGCCGGGCAAGACCGGUGCCAGCCGCCGCGGUAACACCGGCGGCCCGAGUGGUAACCGUUUUUAUUGGGUUUAAAGGGUCCGUAGCCGGCUUACUAAGUCUCUUGGGAAAUCUGGCGGCUCAAUCGUCAGGCGGCCAAGAGAUACUGGUAGGCUUGGGACCGGGAGAGGUGGGAGGUACUCCAGGGGUAGGGGUGAAAUCUCGUAAUCCUUGGGGGACCACCGAUGGCGAAAGCAUCCCACCAGAACGGGUCCGACGGUGAGGGACGAAAGCUGGGGGCACGAACCGGAUUAGAUACCCGGGUAGUCCCAGCUGUAAACGAUGCUCGCUAGGUGUCAGUGCGGUGCGACCGCAUUUGGUGCCGCAGUGAAAACUUGAAGCGAGUCACCUGGAAGUACGUCGCAAGCUGAAACUUAAGAUUGCGGGGGAGCCACAGGCGAUUCGUUUAACUGCAGACUAGUCCUUAGUGAGGUAUCUGAGCUUGGCGUAUCAUGGUCAAAGCUGUUCUGUGUGAAUUGUUUUCCGCUACGAUUCCACAACAUCGGAGUCGGAGCUAGGGUUAAGGCUGUGUGCUAUGAGUGAACGUCAA